AGAUCCAUGUUGACCACUAGCAUAGUUGAAGCCACUAAAGAAUUCUUUGUAUUUUCUGUACUGUAAAAUCCUGUUGUUUAAUGUUUCAUCAUCAUUGCAGUUUUUUUUUUCCAAUUGACAACUUAAUGUAUAUUAGAUUUCUGAAAAUAAAAAUGCCCCUGGUUACAUUUUUUUCUAACAGAACCUGGAAUUUUGAUUGGACUUUGGUGUGGUAUCAGAGUAAGCACCAUCUAUUUGCACAUUUAAAAAAAUCAGUGUUCCUUUGUGACUUACAUAUUUCCUAACUCCAGAGGAAAAUGUGUAGGAAAAAAAAUUAAACAGUACUUCUGUAGAAUUCCUGACUAUCAAGGUUAUGGGUCAAUUCAAUAGAAUGGUGAAUACAGUUUAAGGAGUAAAAUAAUUACAGGAAUUUAAGAGAAUCGAAUCCUAAGACAUUGUUAAUAUGAGCAUUAAAUUAGUUAUGAGGAUUAUUGCAACAAAAUUGAUUCAGAUUAAUAGGAUUUUGAAAGCUUCAUUUUGAAAGGGUAGCUAUGUAUACAGUAUCUCAUAUCUUCAUAGUUAAAAGUGUCUGCAAAGUCAGCAUCUUGUCCACCUAUCUUAUAUGAACUAAAAGAAUAAAACCGUUGUGCAUGAGUAAAUUUGGGUGGAUUAAAUAAACUAAAUAAACUAGUAACCCAUGGUUGAUUCUUUAUUGCCUCGUUUUGGAGGCAUGAGCUGAGGAUACUCAUAAUAUUGCAGUUGGGUUAAGUGACUCUAGAAAAUGGACAGAUGGGUGGAUGCAGGGAUAAUGUGCCAUCAGAAUCAAACUUCAUUUAAAUCAGAUGUAAAAAAUGUUACCUUUACAAAUUACACAAAGAAUUAUUUUAUUUUUACAGUGCUCUAAUAUUCAAAAUAGCUAUUUGAAUACACAAAGGACGAUUUUAUUUUUACAGUGUUCUAAUAUUUAAAAUGGCCAUUUGAAUAGUUUUUUUCUGUAAAUAACCUAAUGAUUACAAUGUGCAUGAUGCACAUAUACUAAUUUAAAAUAUACUCAUUUAAAAUAAUGUCUUUAAUCAUUAUAGCAGACUUUUUUGCCCAAGAAGUGUGUCCUCAUUUAAUUUAUAACCUCUGACCGUCUUUGAGGUAUCAAUGAAGUAAGGUACUCUCAUCAAUGUUCAAUUGUACAUCAAUUCUCAUGACUCAGGCGCCACUGCGAGUGGCAGCUAUUCCAGCAGCUCUGUGUAUGACUUUAUUUUUCUACCUUUUUCUCUAUUUCACUGUUAACUCCUACCACUUUCCUUGAUGUGGACUCGUUCCCUGGACACUUUUUACUACUUGGACAUGGAUUUUUACACGCCGAGACUCGUCUAUUCAAGUAGUCAACUUCAAGCGCUGAGAACAAAUGCCCGCGCCGGUGUGGUUCCCUAUUUACCUGACGAGAUGGAAAAGCUUUAAAAGUAGAGUUGAUCCAAAAUCGAAAAGUAAAACACCAAGGCUAUUGCAGACCACAAUGUCAGUUUUGAAACCGAUGACAGGAACCCUCACCAAAGAAAAAGAAGAAACAUUAAAUGUAAUCAAAGAGCUGAACAAAAUGAUAAAAAUGGCUGAUGUAGCUUUAAAAGGAACAAGGAAGACUGAAGACAAAUAACAACUCAACUUUAAUGAGAUAAUCUAUUUAGCUAGAUAUUUUACUUUAUUUUUAAUUCUGUUUGGUUUUUAUUAAGUCUGUUUAAAAUUAGACACGAUUAUGAUUUAUAAAUAUAUAUUUCCUUUUUUGUUUAAGCAAGAGGAAUAUCAUUAGACUUCAUGCAAGGUUUUGAGGCAUUAUAAUCUAAGUAAUAAUUAAGUAGUUCACCCAGUAAUAUGUAGUGUAAUGAAUUAUGCAGUGAUUAGUUAAACUGCUGUGUGCCAGUAUAUCAACAGCUAACAUAACAUCUGAAAUGGACAGAGAAAUUUCUACUUAAAUGCCUAGUUAAGUAGAAUAUUUUCUCAUAAGCCCAGGCUUUCUUUAUGUUUUUGAUCUAUACUGGAAUUUCUCAUAGAGUCCCAUUCAUGUGGUCAUUUUUUAGUGUAACAAAUUAAUUUUUUAAGUUUAGUGUUCAGUUGUACAAAAAUCAACACCAUCCAACAAAGCUACAUAUCUUCAUCUAAAGAAUAAGGACCAAUUUGUUUAUUUUCUACAUCUACCUUAGUGUUGACAUUGUAGCAAGUAUGAACAGCAGAAUUCCUAAUAAAUACUCAUUUAAGGAAACACUGUAAUUGUAUAAUAAUUGGUUUUAAAAGAGACUACAGCAUGAGGACUGAAUUUCAGAUUUGUACUGUGUAGGUUUGAAACUCCUCUUGCUAUAGCUGUGGAUAUCAAAUAAAAAAGAAUGCUGUACAUAAUCUGAAAGAAAACAAUUCAAGAAUAAUACAUUUAUUUCUGUAUGAAACUUGGCAUUUAAUUUAAUUUAAAUCAAUAAAUACAGUGUUCACA
This is a long non-coding RNA of Erpetoichthys calabaricus (reedfish), 2455 nucleotides long. RefSeq lists it as uncharacterized. The transcript is spliced from 3 exons. The record is from RefSeq and is a predicted model, not a curated record. Lineage: Eukaryota; Metazoa; Chordata; Cladistia; Polypteriformes; Polypteridae.